Long non-coding RNA from Rhipicephalus microplus (southern cattle tick), 402 nucleotides. NCBI's taxonomy places the organism in Eukaryota, Metazoa, Arthropoda, Arachnida, Ixodida, Ixodidae. The record is from RefSeq and is a predicted model, not a curated record.
UAAAGUAUCCACUCGACCAGGUCUACCCGAUACAUCGAACUCAAUGGUGAAAUGCGGAUACGAGUGUUAUAUUAGAAAUGAUGAUGUUUCGGUCGGCUGUCCCGAGCCUUGCGUGUGCAUAAGCACAAGAUUCGAAGAAAAUAUUUACAGAGGAGUGGGACAUUGCUGGUAUAUGUUUCGGAGAAAUACAACGCAUUAAACUAGAGAGAUCCCAGAAGCUCAGGCCUCGGCCAAAGCACUGAGAGGAACUUCUGCAGAAUAAGGGUGUCUUCUUGAAAAAUGACAGUCUACACACAAAUAGAAAUAAAUGAAUGAAACUCCGCGCAUUUCGAGGAAGUCAAUGACAACAAGUGCGUGAAGCACUGGGUGUUUUUCAGUGUUGUGGUUAAUCACCCAUGGGGC